This 346-nucleotide unclassified non-coding RNA is filed under the name soil metagenome. RNAcentral describes it as "partial contains 5.8S ribosomal RNA, internal transcribed spacer 2, and large subunit ribosomal RNA". The stretch from base 1 to 120 matches the Rfam family "5.8S ribosomal RNA", at positions 35 to 154 of the family's 154-position model. The record is from RNAcentral.
GAUGAAGAACGUAGCGAAAUGCGAUAAGUAAUGCGAAUUGCAGAAUUCAGUGAAUCAUCGAGUCUUUGAACGCACAUUGCGCCCCCUGGUAUUCCGGGGGGCAUGCCUGUCCGAGCGUCAUUGCUGCCCUCAAGCCCGGCUUGUGUGUUGGGUCUCGUCCCCCUUCCCGGGGGGACGGGCCCGAAAGGCAGCGGCGGCACCGCGUCCGGUCCUCGAGCGUAUGGGGCUUUGUCACCCGCUCUGUAGGCCCGGCCGGCGCUUGCCGAUCAACCAAAACUUUUUUCCAGGUUGACCUCGGAUCAGGUAGGGAUACCCGCUGAACUUAAGCAUAUCAAUAAGCGGAGGA